AAGAUUUAUCGCCGAAAGAUCGGCCCGCGUCUGAUUAGCUAGUUGGUGAGGUAACGGCUCACCAAGGCGACGAUCAGUAGCUGGUCUGAGAGGAUGAUCAGCCACAUUGGGACUGAGACACGGCCCAAACUCCUACGGGAGGCAGCAGUGGGGAAUAUUGGACAAUGGGCGCAAGCCUGAUCCAGCCAUGCCGCGUGAGUGAUGAAGGCCCUAGGGUUGUAAAGCUCUUUUGUGCGGGAAGAUAAUGACGGUACCGCAAGAAUAAGCCCCGGCUAACUUCGUGCCAGCAGCCGCGGUAAUACGAAGGGGGCUAGCGUUGCUCGGAAUCACUGGGCGUAAAGGGUGCGUAGGCGGGUCUUUAAGUCAGAGGUGAAAGCCUGGAGCUCAACUCCAGAACUGCCUUUGAUACUGAGGAUCUUGAGUUCGGGAGAAGUGAGUGGAACUGCGAGUGUAGAGGUGAAAUUCGUAGAUAUUCGCAAGAACACCAGUGGCGAAGGCGGCUCACUGGCCCGAUACUGACGCUGAGGCACGAAAGCGUGGGGAGCAA
RNAcentral lists this ribosomal RNA (547 nucleotides) under uncultured bacterium. RNAcentral describes it as "bacterial SSU rRNA". It matches the Rfam family "Bacterial small subunit ribosomal RNA", at positions 202 to 771 of the family's 1533-position model. The record is from RNAcentral.